Molecule: non-coding RNA, 90 nt
Organism: Mycena capillaripes
Lineage: Eukaryota; Fungi; Basidiomycota; Agaricomycetes; Agaricales; Mycenaceae
Source: the annotation of a GenBank genome assembly
UCGGACAUGGUGUAGGGUACACCGCCUCUGCCCAUGGGCGGGUCCAAGAGAAUUUAGGGGCAGUACGGGGUUCGACUCCCCGUGUCCGAA